This 253-nucleotide ribosomal RNA is filed under the name uncultured bacterium. RNAcentral describes it as "partial 16S ribosomal RNA". It matches the Rfam family "Bacterial small subunit ribosomal RNA", at positions 524 to 776 of the family's 1533-position model. The record is from RNAcentral.
UACGAGUGCCCCGAGCGUUAUCCGGAAUUAUUGGGCGUAAAGGGUGUGUAGGUGGUUUUGUUAGUCUUUUGUUAAAGCUCCCGGCUUAACCGGGAAAGUGCAGAGGAAACGGCAAGACUAGAGGAUGUGAGAGGUUUGCGGAACUCAUGGUGUAGGGGUGAAAUCCGUUGAUAUCAUGGGGAACACCAAAAGCGAAGGCAGCAAACUGGCGCAUUCCUGACACUGAAACACGAAAGCGUGGGUAGCGAAUGGG